This 125-nucleotide small RNA is filed under the name Marmota monax (woodchuck). The record is from RNAcentral. Lineage: Eukaryota; Metazoa; Chordata; Mammalia; Rodentia; Sciuridae.
GCCAGAUGUGGUGGCGCACACCUGUAAUCCCAGCAGCUCAGGAGGCUGAGACAGGAGGAUCAUGAGUUCAAAGCCAGCCUCAGCAAAAGUGAGGCACUAAGCUACUCAGGGAGACCCUGUCUCUA